RNAcentral lists this ribosomal RNA (253 nucleotides) under uncultured bacterium. Its description in RNAcentral is "partial 16S ribosomal RNA". It matches the Rfam family "Bacterial small subunit ribosomal RNA", at positions 524 to 776 of the family's 1533-position model. The record is from RNAcentral.
UACAGAGGGGGCAAGCGUUGUUCGGAAUUACUGGGCGUAAAGGGCGCGUAGGCGGCCUUCUAAGUCGAACGUGAAAUCCCCGGGCUCAACCCGGGAACUGCGUCCGAUACUGGAGGGCUUGAAUCCGGGAGAGGGAUGCGGAAUUCCAGGUGUAGCGGUGAAAUGCGUAGAUAUCUGGAGGAACACCGGUGGCGAAGGCGGCCCACUGGUCCGGUACUGACGCUGAGGUGCGAAAGCGUGGGGAGCAAACAGG